RNAcentral lists this ribosomal RNA (194 nucleotides) under Escherichia coli. RNAcentral's name for it is "partial 23S ribosomal RNA". It matches the Rfam family "Bacterial large subunit ribosomal RNA", at positions 2737 to 2925 of the family's 2925-position model. RNAcentral also lists the same sequence under 1 other name. The record is from RNAcentral. Lineage: Bacteria; Pseudomonadati; Pseudomonadota; Gammaproteobacteria; Enterobacterales; Enterobacteriaceae.
ACUGCCCGGUAGCUAAAUGCGGAAGAGAUAAGUGCUGAAAGCAUCUAAGCACGAAACUUGCCCCGAGAUGAGUUCUCCCUGACUCCUUGAGAGUCCUGAAGGAACGUUGAAGACGACGACGUUGAUAGGCCGGGUGUGUAAGCGCAGCGAUGCGUUGAGCUAACCGGUACUAAUGAACCGUGAGGCUUAACCUU